GGUUAAGCUACUAAGAGCCUACGGUGGAUGCCUAGGGGCCAAGGGCCGAUGAAGGGCGUGGCAAGGCUGCGAAAAGCCUCGAUGAGCCGUCUAGCAGGCAUAGUCGGGGAUGCCCGAAUGGGGGAACCCGGCCCGGUGUUGAGCUGGGUCAUCCCGACGUAAAGUCGGGAAGGUAAGCGGGGGAACUGAAACAUCUAAGUACCCUGAGGAAAAUAAAUCAACCGAGAUUCCCCUAGUAGUGGCGAACGAACGGGGAAGAGCCUAAACCGCUGCGACUUAGUGGUCCAGGGACCUAUGUCGUAGCGGGGUUAUAGGACGCGUCGGCUCCGACCUGGUAGGAGCAAGGAGUUACAAAGCUUAUUUCUAGCUGAAGGCACCUGGAAAGGACCGUCGAAGAGGGUGAAAGCCCCGUAGGCGAAAGGAAUAAGUCUCCUGAUGCAGAUCCUGAGUACCGCGGGACACGAGAAAUCCUGUGGGAAGUUGGGGGGACCACCCUCCAAGGCUAAAUACCCUUGGCCACCGAUAGUGUACCAGUACCGUGAGGGAAAGGUGAAAAGAACC
This 561-nucleotide ribosomal RNA is filed under the name Dehalococcoidia bacterium. RNAcentral's name for it is "partial 23S ribosomal RNA". It matches the Rfam family "Bacterial large subunit ribosomal RNA", at positions 1 to 525 of the family's 2925-position model. The record is from RNAcentral. Lineage: Bacteria; Bacillati; Chloroflexota; Dehalococcoidia.